UCUGGUUUAGCAUAUAUAAUGCAAAGGAUUGUAAAUCCUUUUAAGGCUUGAAGAGCCAGUCAGGU
RNAcentral lists this transfer RNA (65 nucleotides) under Schistocephalus solidus. RNAcentral describes it as "tRNA-Tyr". The record is from RNAcentral. Lineage: Eukaryota; Metazoa; Platyhelminthes; Cestoda; Diphyllobothriidea; Diphyllobothriidae.